This is a long non-coding RNA of Lemur catta (Ring-tailed lemur), 153 nucleotides long. RefSeq lists it as uncharacterized. The record is from RefSeq and is a predicted model, not a curated record. NCBI's taxonomy places the organism in Eukaryota, Metazoa, Chordata, Mammalia, Primates, Lemuridae. The transcript is spliced from 3 exons.
CGCAUCCAUCUCCUCUUUGGUCUCAGCUUUUCCGUUGGUAAAAGCUCUCCAUCACCCAUCCCAGCUGUCACCAGAGUAAGCUGAGUCUGCAGACCUGUGAAGGCAGCAGAUGGGCUCCCUGUUAAGCCACCCCAAUGAGACUUCAUGGCUUCU